RNAcentral lists this small nuclear RNA (104 nucleotides) under Salvator merianae (Argentine black and white tegu). The record is from RNAcentral. Lineage: Eukaryota; Metazoa; Chordata; Lepidosauria; Squamata; Teiidae.
GUGCUCGCUUUGGCACCACAUAUACUAAAAUUGGAACAAUACAGAGAAGCUUAGCAUGGCCUCUGCGCAAAAAUAAAAUUAAAAAAUAGGCCUCUUCAGCCUUG